Glycine soja is the source of this 378-nucleotide long non-coding RNA. RefSeq lists it as uncharacterized. The record is from RefSeq and is a predicted model, not a curated record. Lineage: Eukaryota; Viridiplantae; Streptophyta; Magnoliopsida; Fabales; Fabaceae. The transcript has 2 exons.
CUAUAACUGACAGGAACACUGGUCUUGGAACAUGAAGAUACUUGCUUCGACAGGCAAUUCAAGCAUUAGGCAAUAAAACCCUGAAUCAUUGGUCAUCCGGGGAUGGAGCAACAGCAGGUGCUGGGGAAGACAUAUUUGCUUCUAUCUUUGCACAGACUUGAUGCAGGUACACAUGUAAGGGCGGGUCGAAUAUUCCAAAAGGAACAACAGGGCGAGUCUGCGUUUUGGAAUCCUGCAAAGCAAACGUAGUUACGAUAUAAAUAACUCUCAGCAGUCAGCAGACAAGCUAGAGCAAUUAUUAAUUUUCUGUUAAUGCAUGAUAUGUAGCCAAUUCUUCAGAAAGUAACAUACACAAUGUGUGAAAUCCUAAGUUCAUUC